UCCAUCUGCAUUUUGCAUUAACCCAUCUGCCCCAGUGCGCAAGCCAGAGGGUCGCAGGGGGCUGGGGAUGCGGAGGCGGGGUGUGCCAGCCAUCUGCACCCGCGCGCGUCCCCAGCUGCACACCUGGGGCCGGGGCCGCGCGCGUCGGCCCCACGCGGAGCGCGCCCCACGCGGAGAGCGGCGCGGCGCGCAGGACCCGAGGGCGGGGCGGGAGCAGCUCGGGUUCGCGCUCUCCCUCGCGGCGGAGCGGACAGCUUGCAGUUGGGGGGCCGACGGUACCUUUUGGAUAGGUCCAUGAGGACCCCGGAGAAGAGCUUCUCCCCGAGGCGGAACGACACGACGAGCGCGUCCUCGAUGAUGUGGUCCAGCGUGACCCGCACCUCCGAGCCGGGGAUGAGGUGCGACACCGCCGAGUCCCCGCCCGCCGGCGGCACGAGCGCCGGAGCUGGUGGCGGCCGCGGCGCGUCCUCGGGCUGCUCGGGGGCGGCCGGAGGCUGCUCGGGCGGCGAGACCGGGACAGCCGCGGGCUCGGGCGGCUUCGCCUCCUCAGCCUCGGAGCUAUCGGCCAGCUCCCCCGGCGGCGGCGGCGGCGGCGGUGGCGGCAGCGGCUGCUCGUCGGCCUGAGGGGCGGACUGGCGCCCGUCGGCCUCGCCGUCCGGCACCGCCGCCUCCGUGGCCGUGACCGGGAGGGGGGUGCCGGCUUCGCUGCCGGGAAUGGGCUCUAGCUCCGGCUCGGCCUCGCCGGCGCCCCCUUCCCCGGGGGACGCCGCGGUCGCCGCCGCCUCAGCAGCCACGGCCGCCAUUUUCUCGCUGGUUUCUCCCUCCUCCUACUCGGGCUGCGGCGGCGGCGGCGGCAGCGCGGCUGGGAUCCCGAGGCCUUCCCCUCCCUCCCGCUAACACUCUCGUCCCGCCCUUUCCCUGAUGCUCGUGAUUGGCACCGCGCCAUUGGCUCCGCCUUCCACCCCCUUCCGCACUUCUGUCAACCCAUUGGUCAGAAGGAGCCGUCUGUCGCGGGCUGAGUCCCGCCCCCUCCCUCAGAGUAGGAACUUCCCAUUGGUCAGGUCAAGGCCUGGGAUUUUGGUUUGUGAGAAGAAGAAAGAAGAAGAAGAAGAAGAAGGAGAAGGAGAAGGAGAAGGAGAAGGAGAAAAAGAAGAAGGAGAAGAAGAAGAAGAAGAAGAAAAAUUCAGAUCUUUUCUAUAUCAAAAACAUUUUCUACCAAAUGAGCUGCAUGCUUUAGGUUACACAUCUUACUGAGGACAGAAAACAAACAAAUGCCUUUUUUUCUUUUUCCUUGCUGUGAACAGGCCUGCUGUUUUGAACACUGUCACAAAUGCUUGCUGGAUUUUGUUUGGGGCAAUAAUAUGUUUAGUUAAUGAGCUAACCUCACUAAGAAGCCCUGCAGUCUAAAAUUGUCAUAAAAAUUAAUCUAUCUGUGUUAUCUCCUAUAUUGACAAUAAGAAUCCUUGAUACUGCCUCGGAGGGAGGGAGGGACGGGAGGGAGGAACACACACACACACAGAGAAACACGCAGAGAGACAGAGACAGAGAGAGAGGUCAGCUGGGGUUGAGCAUGGUAGCACAUGCAUGCCUAUCAUACCAGAGCUAGAAGCCAUGAGAUCAGGAACUCAAAGUCUCAAUGUCCUCUCUGACUUCACACAUGGGUUCAAGGCCAGCAUGUCAAACAUGAGACCCUGUUUCACACACACACACACACACACACACACGAACGAAAGACAAGAAAAGAAAAGAAAAAAGAAAAAAGAGAGAAAAGGAAAGGAGAGAGAAACCAGCCAGGCCUAGAGACACACACAACACUCAGAAGAUAGAGUCAGGAGCAUCUGAAGUUCAGAGUUCAAGGCCAGACUAAUGCAUAAGGCCAUGUCUAAGUAAGACUCGAAGAUGUCAGAUGGAUGGAGCAAGGCCUCAUGGUUCCCACCCAUAAUUCCAGUACUCAGGAGACUAUUGCAGAAGGGUUUUGACAGGUUUGGAUUCUAGGCUAAGCUAGGGUACCAGCUGGUCCUGACUGCCACAGAAUUUAGUUUCAAGCUCUGUGGGGUGCUAGAGUAUUGACCAAGUCUCAAGAAUGUUUAAACUUAAAGGCUGAACCUGAGCCGGGCGUGGUGGCGCACACCUUUAAUCCCAGCACUCGGGAGGCAGAGGCAGGCGGAUUUCUGAGUUCGAGGCCGGCCUGGUCUACAAAGUGAGUGCCAGGACAGCCAGGGCUACACAGAGAAACCCUGUCUCGAAAAACCAACAAAAAAAAAAAAAAAAAAAAGAAAAGAAAAGGCUGAACCCUGAACCUGUGUCCGCUUCCAGCCAGCCUCUUUGGCAGCACAAAAUCUCCAUAAUCUCCAUGAUAAAUCAUCUUACCUGUUUCUUCAGCUAUAAGCUACUUUUAAAGCACUGACUUUUUAGAAGAUCCAUUUUUAAUUAUGUUUAGGCAUGUGUGUUUAUAUGUGGGUAUGCACACACGAGUGUACGUGCCAUUAGAGGUCAGAGGCAUUAGAUCCUGUGGAGCUGAAGUUACAAAUGGUCCUGACCCGGGUGCUAGGAACCAAAUUCAAGUCCUAUGGAAGAGCAGCAAGUACUCUUAACUACUGAGUCAUAUUUCUUCAUUCCCUAUAUAUUUUGUUUAGUUUCAUAUAAUAACUACCUAUCAAGAAAGUGUGUGUGUGUGUGUGUGUGUGUGUGUGUGUGUGUGUGUGUGUGCAAUGAGUAUGCAGAAAUCAGAAGAGAAUAAGAGUGUUUGAGCCUGCAGAGACCAGGAGAGAGCAUUGGAGCCUUCAGAGGUCAGAGGAGGACAUUGAAGCCUGCAGAGACCGGAGGAUGGCAUUGGAGCCUUCAGAGAUGAGAGGAGGACAUCAGAUUCCCUGGUACUGAUGUUUACAGUUGGUUGUGUGAGCUGCCAUAGGGAUGCUGGGGACUGGGGAACUGAUCCCAGACAUUCUUCAAAAGCAUCAAGUGCUCAUGAACACCAAUCCAGCUCUCCAACCCUAGGAUUUGAUUUGGAGUCUUUUGUUUGUUUGUAUACCUUAGGGUGUAUCUUGAAACUUUUGGUGAUCUUCUUACCUUUGCCUCCUACAUACUGGGAUCACAGGACCGUCCUACCGUGCCUGGCUGCGUAAUGCUAGGUGUAUAACAUAGACCUCCAAUCAUAUUAAGGCUUAUUUUAAGAAUACUAAGUUAUUUAUAACUAGGUUCAGAAACUCAACCUGAUUGGUGUAUCUUGGAUUAAUCAUACAUGGUUGCUGCGGGACUCUGCCUCCACCCCAAUAAUGAAACCUGCAAAAGACUUCUGAAAACAAAAGCCCUAGCAUGUUCAUUCACAGAACGGGAAAAUGCUUAAAUAUGACUUAGUGCUUAUUUUAUUUUCUCUGGGCAUGCUUACUCUGGAAAUUGAGGAAUAGGGAAAAGACAAUGUGGGGGGCAGAGACCAGGAUAAAAGGAAUGGCUUUAAAGACUCAUGGGGACAUAUGACACGGGAGUGCAGUGAGGUGUUUCUUGGCUUCUGGGACGACUUCUCUCUGGAAGCCUGUUCUAGAAUUAGCUCACCUGCUCCCAGUUGAACUCAGUAAAGCUCAGUGCCUGGCAAAUUUGUCAAGCACUGGCUCUCUUUGUGCCUCAGGGAUUCUCAGUGUACUUUGGAAUCCAAGAAUCUGCUAAAGCUGCCUGCACACAUGGUAAGAACCCAUAUGGAUAAGGUAGACACAACAAAGCCGGGCAUGGCACAUGACACUGUGGUCCCAGGGAGGCCAAGGAACUAACAGGAAGGGGCCAUUCCUAAGCCUAGUCUCUAUCUUGGCCUGAAUACUGGUCACACAGGUUGUGUUUGGCUUUUUAUAACGCCAGCUUUGCUCUGUGUACCUUUCUGUAAGUAAAUUGUAUUGACU
This is a long non-coding RNA of Mus musculus (house mouse), 3890 nucleotides long. RefSeq annotates it as predicted gene, 34963. NCBI's taxonomy places the organism in Eukaryota, Metazoa, Chordata, Mammalia, Rodentia, Muridae. The transcript is spliced from 2 exons. The record is from RefSeq and is a predicted model, not a curated record.